UGGGGAAUUUUGGACAAUGGGCGCAAGCCUGAUCCAGCAAUGCCGCGUGCAGGAUGAAGGCCUUCGGGUUGUAAACUGCUUUUGUACGGAACGAAAAGGCUCUGGUUAAUACCUGGGGCUCAUGACGGUACCGUAAGAAUAAGCACCGGCUAACUACGUGCCAGCAGCCGCGGUAAUACGUAGGGUGCAAGCGUUAAUCGGAAUUACUGGGCGUAAAGCGUGCGCAGGCGGUGAUGUAAGACAGGUGUGAAAUCCCCGGGCUUAACCUGGGAACUGCAUUUGUGACUGUAUAGCUAGAGUACGGCAGAGGGGGAUGGAAUUCCGCGUGUAGCAGUGAAGUGCGUAGAUAUGCGGAGGAACACCGAUGGCGAAGGCAAUCCCCUGGGCCUGUACUGACGCUCAUGCACGAAAGCGUGGGGAGCAAACA
This 427-nucleotide ribosomal RNA is filed under the name uncultured bacterium. RNAcentral's name for it is "bacterial SSU rRNA". It matches the Rfam family "Bacterial small subunit ribosomal RNA", at positions 355 to 774 of the family's 1533-position model. The record is from RNAcentral.